Molecule: long non-coding RNA, 126 nt
Organism: Balaenoptera musculus (blue whale)
Lineage: Eukaryota; Metazoa; Chordata; Mammalia; Artiodactyla; Balaenopteridae
Exons: 3
Source: RefSeq, a predicted model, not a curated record
AGCCCCUAUACCCAGGUUGGAAGUCCCAAGACUUACGUUAUAUUGCAAGACUGCUACGGACCUCCACCAGAGUUUCCUCUGGCUUCGCCCUGCCCAGGCAUAGUUCACCAUCUUUUGGGUCUUUUU